GGGUUAGUAGGUUGGUCAUGCCUCUGGUAUGUACUGGUCUCACUGAUUCCUCCUUCCUGAUGAACCGUAAUGCCAUUAAUUUGGUGUCAUGGGGAAUCAGGACUGUUACUUUGAAAAAAUUAGAGUGUUUAAAGCAGGCUCGCGCUUGAAUACAUUAGCAUGGAAUAAUGAAAUAGGACGUUUGAUUCUAUUUUGUUGGUUUCUAGGAUCGACGUA
This 216-nucleotide ribosomal RNA is filed under the name uncultured Glomus. RNAcentral describes it as "partial 18S ribosomal RNA". It matches the Rfam family "Eukaryotic small subunit ribosomal RNA", at positions 644 to 864 of the family's 1831-position model. Lineage: Eukaryota; Fungi; Glomeromycota; Glomeromycetes; Glomerales; Glomeraceae. The record is from RNAcentral.